Molecule: ribosomal RNA, 625 nt
Filed under: Trichoderma asperellum
Lineage: Eukaryota; Fungi; Ascomycota; Sordariomycetes; Hypocreales; Hypocreaceae
Description: eukaryotic LSU rRNA
Rfam family: 5.8S ribosomal RNA (bases 239-392)
Source: RNAcentral
UUUAAGUAGAAGUCGUAACAAGGUCUCCGUUGGUGAACCAGCGGAGGGAUCAUUACCGAGUUUACAACUCCCAAACCCAAUGUGAACGUUACCAAACUGUUGCCUCGGCGGGGUCACGCCCCGGGUGCGUCGCAGCCCCGGAACCAGGCGCCCGCCGGAGGAACCAACCAAACUCUUUCUGUAGUCCCCUCGCGGACGUAUUUCUUACAGCUCUGAGCAAAAAUUCAAAAUGAAUCAAAACUUUCAACAACGGAUCUCUUGGUUCUGGCAUCGAUGAAGAACGCAGCGAAAUGCGAUAAGUAAUGUGAAUUGCAGAAUUCAGUGAAUCAUCGAAUCUUUGAACGCACAUUGCGCCCGCCAGUAUUCUGGCGGGCAUGCCUGUCCGAGCGUCAUUUCAACCCUCGAACCCCUCCGGGGGAUCGGCGUUGGGGAUCGGGACCCCUCACACGGGUGCCGGCCCCGAAAUACAGUGGCGGUCUCGCCGCAGCCUCUCCUGCGCAGUAGUUUGCACAACUCGCACCGGGAGCGCGGCGCGUCCACGUCCGUAAAACACCCAACUUUCUGAAAUGUUGACCUCGGAUCAGGUAGGAAUACCCGCUGAACUUAAGCAUAUCAAUAAGCGGAG